UACGAAGGGUGCAAGCGUUACUCGGAAUUACUGGGCGUAAAGCGUGCGUAGGUGGUUCGUUAAGUCUGUCGUGAAAGCCCCGGGCUCAACCUGGGAAUGGCGAUGGAUACUGGCGGGCUAGAGUGCGGUAGAGGAGAGUGGAAUUCCCGGUGUAGCAGUGAAAUGCGUAGAGAUCGGGAGGAACAUCAGUUGCGAAGGCGGCUCUCUGGACCGGCACUGACACUGAGGCACGAAAGCGUGGGGAGCAAACAGG
RNAcentral lists this ribosomal RNA (253 nucleotides) under uncultured bacterium. Its description in RNAcentral is "partial 16S ribosomal RNA". It matches the Rfam family "Bacterial small subunit ribosomal RNA", at positions 524 to 776 of the family's 1533-position model. The record is from RNAcentral.